This 589-nucleotide ribosomal RNA is filed under the name uncultured bacterium. RNAcentral's name for it is "bacterial SSU rRNA". It matches the Rfam family "Bacterial small subunit ribosomal RNA", at positions 334 to 917 of the family's 1533-position model. The record is from RNAcentral.
GGGGCGUACGGGAGGCAGCAGCUAAGAAUAUUCCGCAAUGGACGAAAGUCUGACGGAGCGACGCCGCGUGGAUGAUGAAGGCCGGAAGGUUGUAAAAUCCUUUUGUCGGGGAAGAAUAAGCAUGGGAGGGAAUGCCCGUGUGAUGACAUGAACCGGCGAAUAAGCCCCGGCUAACUACGUGCCAGCAGCCGCGGUAACACGUAGGGGGCGAGCGUUGUUCGGAAUUACUGGGCGUAAAGGGCAUGUAGGCGGUUCUGUAAGCCUGGCGUGAAAGGCUAUGGCUCAACCAUGGCACUGCGUUGGGAACUGCGGGACUUGAAUCAUGGAGAGGGAGCUGGAAUUCCAGGUGUAGGGGUGAAAUCUGUAGAUAUCUGGAAGAACACCGGUGGCGAAGGCGAGCUUCUAUCAGAGGACUGACGCUGAGGCGCGAAAGCGUGGGGAGCAAACAGGAUUAGAUACCCUGGUAGUCCACGCUGUAAACGAUGUGCACUAGGCGUGGGGCACGUCCGUGCUCUGUGCCGUAGCUAACGUGAUAAGUGCACCGCCUGGGGAGUAUGCUCGCAAGGUGAAACUCGAAGGAAUUGACGGG